This 242-nucleotide ribosomal RNA is filed under the name Serratia sp. P0.5. RNAcentral describes it as "partial 16S ribosomal RNA". It matches the Rfam family "Bacterial small subunit ribosomal RNA", at positions 200 to 429 of the family's 1533-position model. Lineage: Bacteria; Pseudomonadati; Pseudomonadota; Gammaproteobacteria; Enterobacterales; Yersiniaceae. The record is from RNAcentral.
ACCAAAGAGGGGGACCUUCGGGCCUCUUGCCAUCAGAUGUGCCCAGAUGGGAUUAGCUAGUAGGUGGGGUAAUGGCUCACCUAGGCGACGAUCCCUAGCUGGUCUGAGAGGAUGACCAGCCACACUGGAACUGAGACACGGUCCAGACUCCNUACGGGAGGCAGCAGUGGGGAAUAUUGCACAAUGGGCGCAAGCCUGAUGCAGCCAUGCCGCGUGUGUGAAGAAGGCCUUCGGGUUGUAAA